UACGGAGGGGGCUAGCGUUGUUCGGAAUUACUGGGCGUAAAGGGCGCGUAGGCGGCCUUCUAAGUCGAACGUGAAAUCCCCGGGCUCAACCCGGGAACUGCGUCCGAGACUGAAAGGCUUGAAUCCGGGAGAGGGAUGUGGAAUUCCAGGUGUAGCGGCGAAAUGCGUAGAUAUCUGGAGGAACAUCGGUGGCGAAGGCGGCAUCCUGGACCGGUAUUGACGCUGAGGCGCGAAAGCCAGGGGAGCAAACGGG
RNAcentral lists this ribosomal RNA (253 nucleotides) under uncultured bacterium. Its description in RNAcentral is "partial 16S ribosomal RNA". It matches the Rfam family "Bacterial small subunit ribosomal RNA", at positions 524 to 776 of the family's 1533-position model. The record is from RNAcentral.